CCUACGGGGGGCAGCAGUGGGGAAUAUUGGACAAUGGGGGCAACCCUGAUCCAGCCAUGCCGCGUGUGUGAAGAAGGCCCUCGGGUUGUAAAGCACUUUCAGGGAGGAAGAACGCCUGGUGGUUAAUACCCAUCAGGAAAGACAUCACUCACAGAAGAAGCACCGGCUAACUCCGUGCCAGCAGCCGCGGUAAUACGGAGGGUGCGAGCGUUAAUCGGAAUUACUGGGCGUAAAGCGCGCGUAGAUGGCUUGAUAAGCCGGUUGUGAAAGCCCCGGGCUCAACCUGGGAACGGCAUCCGGAACUGUCAAGCUAGAGUGCAGGAGAGGAAGGUAGAAUUCCCGGUGUAGCGGUGAAAUGCGUAGAGAUCGGGAGGAAUACCAGUGGCGAAGGCGGCCUUAUGGACUGCCACUGACACUGAGGUGCGAAAGCGUGGGUAGCAAACAGGAUUAGAUACCCCUGUAGUC
RNAcentral lists this ribosomal RNA (465 nucleotides) under Vreelandella stevensii. Its description in RNAcentral is "partial 16S ribosomal RNA". It matches the Rfam family "Bacterial small subunit ribosomal RNA", at positions 338 to 795 of the family's 1533-position model. Lineage: Bacteria; Pseudomonadati; Pseudomonadota; Gammaproteobacteria; Oceanospirillales; Halomonadaceae. The record is from RNAcentral.